Molecule: unclassified non-coding RNA, 236 nt
Filed under: Hevea brasiliensis (rubber tree)
Lineage: Eukaryota; Viridiplantae; Streptophyta; Magnoliopsida; Malpighiales; Euphorbiaceae
Source: RNAcentral
CGUAUUUCCUGGUCUGGGGUUGUCUUCAAUAACACCUAAUUCUUACAAAGUUCGUGAGAGGAAGGUUUAAUCUUUUAUUAUUAUUGGGCUUAUUUUCUAGGGUUCUAGGACUUGGAGUAGAAAUUUUUUAAGAUUGUCUUUCAUUACAUUUGAAAUAUAAUGAAUAAUAUGUUGAUUACAACCUGAAAUAGAUAUUGAAAUAGAAUUGUUAUAAUUCUUCUUUUGCAAUAACUGAG